This 497-nucleotide ribosomal RNA is filed under the name uncultured bacterium. RNAcentral describes it as "partial 16S ribosomal RNA". It matches the Rfam family "Bacterial small subunit ribosomal RNA", at positions 28 to 507 of the family's 1533-position model. The record is from RNAcentral.
GAUGAACGCUGGCGGCGUGCCUAAUACAUGCAAGUCGAGCGAACAGAUAAGGAGCUUGCUCCUUUGACGUUAGCGGCGGACGGGUGAGUAACACGUGGGUAACCUACCUAUAAGACUGGGAUAACUUCGGGAAACCGGAGCUAAUACCGGAUAACAUUUGGAACCGCAUGGUUCUAAAGUGAAAGAUGGUUUUGCUAUCACUUAUAGAUGGACCCGCGCUGUAUUAGCUAGUUGGUAAGGUAACGGCUUACCAAGGCGACGAUACGUAGCCGACCUGAGAGGGUGAUCGGCCACAGUGGAAGUGAGACACGGUCCAGACUCCUGCGGGAGGCAGCAGUAGGAAAUCUUCCGCGAUGGGCGAAAGCCUGACGGAGCAACGCCGCGUGAGUGAUGAAGAGUUUCGGCUCGUAAAACUCUGUUAUGAGGGAAGAACAAAUGUGUAAGUAACUGUGCACGUCUUGACGGUACCUAAUCAGAAAGCCACGGCUAACUACGUG